This 591-nucleotide long non-coding RNA is filed under the name Gossypium barbadense (sea-island cotton). RNAcentral describes it as "long non-coding RNA (GBAR_LNC014573)". Lineage: Eukaryota; Viridiplantae; Streptophyta; Magnoliopsida; Malvales; Malvaceae. The record is from RNAcentral.
GGUUGUGGCGUAGUUUAAGCAGAGAGGGUGCGCAGGAUAAAGCUAUUCACCAUUGUUUCAACAUGAAGGUUUGUAAUAAAAAUUUGUUUCUAUCAGCAUUGCUUUGCAUUGCUGUUGCAGGAGUUUUGGGUCAAGCUCCUAGUAAUCCUCCUACGUCUACGCCGGCGCCACCCACACCACCGGCUUCUACUCCUCCUCCGACGACUCAAGCACCGCCUACACCAACCGCCACUCCGCCACCGGUUUCUACUCCUCCUCCCACUUCAUCACCGCCCCCAGUGACAGCUUCUCCACCCCCAGUUUCAACUCCUCCACCCAGUUCUCCUCCUCCUGCAACUCCACCACCUGCUUCUCCUCCUCCUGCAACUCCACCUCCAGCUUCUCCACCUCCUGCCACUCCUCCACCAGCUUCUCCACCUCCCGCCACUCCACCACCUGCAACCCCACCGCCAGCAACUCCUCCUCCUGCUACCCCACCACCAGCUCCAUUGGCUUCUCCUCCAGCCACAGUCCCAGCUAUCUCUCCAGUACAAACACCAUUGACAUCGCCACCAGCUCCGCCGACCGAGGCCCCAGCACCUACCCUCGGGG